UACUGGAAAAAAUGCAAUAGGAU
RNAcentral lists this small nuclear RNA (23 nucleotides) under Arabidopsis thaliana (thale cress). Its description in RNAcentral is "snRNA_18700". The record is from RNAcentral. Lineage: Eukaryota; Viridiplantae; Streptophyta; Magnoliopsida; Brassicales; Brassicaceae.